This 2755-nucleotide long non-coding RNA is filed under the name Homo sapiens (human). RNAcentral's name for it is "HSALNT0260178". Lineage: Eukaryota; Metazoa; Chordata; Mammalia; Primates; Hominidae. The record is from RNAcentral.
GGCAGACGCGCACGUGGGUGCAGGGGGUGGGGGCGCAUCUCGCGGACCGCGCGCAGUGACAGCAGGGCCCGGCUCGGGCCGCCCGGGCGUCGGCGCCGGCGGGAACGCGACGUCUUGCGGCAAGAAACGGCGUGGCGCAGCUCCUGCAGCAUCUCCUGGCACACCGACACCUGGGGGUGGCGCGGGCGGUCACCGUCCCGGCGCAGUCCGCCUCCCGCCUCCCCCAGCCCCUCUCCACAUCCCACUCCUCCUCCUCCUUUCCUCGCCCGGGUCUUUCUUCCUUCUGCCCUCGCUUCCCUUCCCACUUCUCUUCCCUUUAUCUCCCCCGUGUUUUCUGCCUCCCCUCUCCACCUCUCCCCACUUAUCUUCAAUGUCUCCAUUCUACUCUGCGUUUGUUCCUGAAUCUGCCCUUCACCUUCCACCUAAGCUCCUCUCUUUCCUCUGGUCUUUUCACUGUCUCUAAAUUUUCUCCAGUUCUUCCUUCCUGAUUUCCCAUCUUCUGCCCCUCAUCCAUGCGUUCAUUAUUGCAAGGCAUAUUUACCUGUGGCCUGCUGUGUGCCCGGCACUGUUCUGAGCACUGGGGAUAUGGCAGAGAAGGAAACAGACAGAAGUCCCAGCCCUCGUGGAGGUUAUGCUCAAGUGUGCAGAGACAGAAGAUAACAGACAUGUAUGUAGUGUGUUAGGCGUGGUGAGUGCUUUGGAAAGAAAGAAAAUCGGGAAGAGGCCUAAGGUGUAUGGGUAGGGAGUGACGAUGAAUUCUGAGACAGGACAGUCAAGGAAGACCUCACUGAGAGAAGGAUCCUUAAAUAAAGACAGGGUGAGCCACUGGAGACCUGGGAAGCCAGCCUGCUGGACAGAUAACCGGGCAGGGCCGAAAUGCCCAGGUGGGAGUGACUUGGCACGUCUGAGGCACUGCAAGCAGGUCAGCAUGGCUGGAGGGGGGCGUGCACAGGGAAGACAGAAAAAUGAGGUCAAAGGAGCAGUGGCGGCCAGCUCUGGUAAGGCCCAUAAACCACUGGAAGGAUUUUUGGCUUUCAUUCUGAAAAUCAGAAUGAGAGUCAGACGGGAAUCACUGGGGAGCUUUAGGUAGAGGAGUGCUGUGUUUUCAUAGGAUCACUCUGUGUUGAGAACAGAUUGUAGGGAGGCCAAGGCAAGAGCAGGGAGCUCAUGGAGGAAGCUAUGACAAUAACCCGGGCAGGAGAUAGGGAUGGCUGGACCAGAGCGACCUGAGAAAGGUCUGGAUUCUGGAUAUAUUCUGAAGGUGGAGCCAAUAGGAUCUGCUAAGAGAUCAGAUACGGGGCAUGGAAGAGAGAGAAUAGUGAAAGAAAGCUCCAAUAUUUUGGCCCGAGCAACUGGAAGGACCAAAUUGCCUCACAGGUGGGCAGAAGCCCAAUGUUGGACACAUCGCAUCACGUGCACACCUAUCAGAUAUCCAAGUGGAGAUACCAAGUGUGGAGCUGAAGUUGCAGACCUUGGCUUCAGGGGAGACACAUAUUUGUGGGUUAAGGCAGGCAGCCUUCAAGAUCCCACCUCCCGCGUCCACGCCCCUGUGUAAUCCCCUCUGACACUGUGUCAGAGCUGGUCUGUGUGACCAACAGAAUAAGUUUCAGCCAUUGCACAUUCUGCUUCCGCCUUGCUCUCUCUGAUCACUCGCCCUGGGGGAUCUCAGCUGCCAUGGUGUGAGGACACUCAAGCAGUCCUUGGAGAGGUCCUUGUCUGAGGAACUGAGGCCUCCUGCCAACUGCCAUGUGAGUGUAUUCAUCAUGUUUUUUAUUUUCUGUGUCUUAGGAUGUUUUGACACUUUAAACAUCUUGCAGGCUGGGGAGAGACUACCCCUCCCAGAACUAGCCAAGCCUUAGAGAUAGCAGAGGGCUCAGCUGCCUUUCAUGUGCAAACCAACCAAUCUAUACCCCCAACCUCCCCCUUUACCUAACUCUCACAUACCAAGCCAAUAUUCUUCCUGACCUAAAUCAACCCGGGGCCAGGUACCAGAUAAGUAGGGACAGCCCCUAUAGCCCAGAGUCCACUGACAUUAUCCAAACUGGUGAAUCGUAAGCUGUUUCCCCUUCUCCUGGGAAAUGUUAAAGAAUAAAAAUCAUUUUUCUUUCUGUUUCUUUUUGAGACAGUCUCACUCUGUCACCCAGGCUGGAGGGCAGUGGUGCAAUCUCGGCUCACUGCAACCUCCACCUCCCAGAUUCAAGUAAUUCUCCUGUCUCAGCCUCCUGAGUAGUUGGGACUACAGGUGUCCACCACCAUAUCUGGCUAAUUUUUGUGUUUUCAGUAGAGACAGGGUUUCACCAUGUUGGCCAUGCUGGUCUUGAACUCCUGGCCUCAUGUGAUCUGCCCUCCUCAGCCUCCCAAAGUGCUUGGAUUACAGGCGUGAGCCACCACACCUGGGCAAAAAUCAUCUUUCAAUGAAAUUGGUCUCCAUGUUGUCACUUGGCCACCUCCAGAAACUAAAAUCCCAUGGGGACAUUUGGGACAGUGAGCCAUCUUAGAACGGAACCCUCCACCCUUUGUUGAGCCUUCAGACCACAGCAGUCUGGCCAAAAAACAUGACUAUGACCUCAUCAGAGACCCAUGGCAGCCAGAAACAUCCAGCUAAGCUGCUCCGAGGCUCUGGACCCACAGAAACUGUGAACCAAUGGAAGCUGGCUUUUUAAAAGCUGUUAAGGUCAUUUGUUAUGAUAGCAAUAGAUAACUAACACAAGAAUCACCAGCACAUAGUGGGUCUUAAGAGCCAUUUGGCUGGUGG